Molecule: long non-coding RNA, 442 nt
Organism: Vicia villosa (hairy vetch)
Lineage: Eukaryota; Viridiplantae; Streptophyta; Magnoliopsida; Fabales; Fabaceae
Exons: 2
Source: RefSeq, a predicted model, not a curated record
UGAAGCUUGAAAUUUUAAUUAAAAGUGAUACAAGCUAAUGAUAUUUGAACCACACAAAUGGAAAAGAAUAUCGUUAAGGUUUUCAAAAUAGUUUACGUUAUGAUUAUUAUUAGUUUUCUACUUCUUAAUGCAAAUGAAGGUUACGUUGUUAUUACAGAGACAGAUGUUCCAUGUAAAAUACGUCAAGAUUGUUCUAAAACUUUGUGUACUUUUGGCUCUUCACGAAAAUGUAAUCGAGCAGGUUAUUGUGUAUGUGUUUCACACGUUCUCGAUUAGAUAUUAUGAUGGCAUCCAAUAAUUCAAUUUCUUAUUUAAUUUUUAUAAUUUUAUGAAACUUGUAGUUACUUUCUUAUUUAAUUUUUACAAUUUUAUGAAACUUACUACUUUGUAAGUUAAAAUGAUACAAAUAAAAUGAAAUAUAACAUUAAUGCCUAUUUUAUCA